Molecule: ribosomal RNA, 378 nt
Filed under: uncultured eukaryote
Lineage: Eukaryota
Description: partial 18S ribosomal RNA
Rfam family: Eukaryotic small subunit ribosomal RNA
Source: RNAcentral
CAAUAGCGUAUAUUUAAGUUGUUGCAGUUAAAAAGCUCGUAGUUGGAUUUCGGGUGGGACGCAGCGGUCUCGCAUUGCGUUUGUACUGCUGCAGCCCUCCUUCUUGCCGGGGGCGGCCUCUCGGACUUCACUGUCUGGGGGUCAGAAUCGGCGAUGUUACUUUGAGUAAAUUAGAGUGUUCAAAGCAAGCUUACGCUCUGAAUACAUUAGCAUGGAAUAACACGAUAGGACUCUGGCUUAUCUUGUUGGUCUGUGAGACCAGAGUAAUGAUUAAGAGGGACAGUCGGGGGCAUUCGUAUUUCAUUGUCAGAGGUGAAAUUCUUGGAUUUAUGAAAGACGAACUUCUGCGAAAGCAUUUGUCAAGGAUGUUUUCAUUAA